This 407-nucleotide ribosomal RNA is filed under the name uncultured bacterium. Its description in RNAcentral is "bacterial SSU rRNA". It matches the Rfam family "Bacterial small subunit ribosomal RNA", at positions 59 to 448 of the family's 1533-position model. The record is from RNAcentral.
CAGUCGAACGGAGCGCCUAUGAAGGAGAUUUCGGUCAACGGAAUAGGUUGCUCAGUGGCGGACGGGUGAGUAACGCGUGAGGAACCUGCCUUUCAGAGGGGGACAACAGUUGGAAACGACUGCUAAUACCGCAUAACACAUAGGUGUCGCAUGGCAUUUAUGUCAAAGAUUUAUCGCUGAAAGAUGGCCUCGCGUCUGAUUAGCUAGUUGGUGAGGUAACGGCUCACCAAGGCGACGAUCAGUAGCCGGACUGAGAGGUUGGCCGGCCACAUUGGGACUGAGAUACGGCCCAGACUCCUACGGGAGGCAGCAGUGGGGAAUAUUGGGCAAUGGGCGCAAGCCUGACCCAGCAACGCCGCGUGAAGGAAGAAGGCUUUCGGGUUGUAAACUUCUUUUGACAGGGAAGA